GAUGAACGCUGGCGGCGUGCCUAAUACAUGCAAGUCGAGCGAACAGACGAGGAGCUUGCUCCUUCGACGUUAGCGGCGGACGGGUGAGUAACACGUAGGUAACCUACCUAUAAGACUGGGAUAACUUCGGGAAACCGGAGCUAAUACCGGAUAAUAUUUCGAACCGCAUGGUUCGAUAGUGAAAGAUGGCUUUGCUAUCACUUAUAGAUGGACCUGCGCCGUAUUAGCUAGUUGGUAAGGUAACGGCUUACCAAGGCAACGAUACGUAGCCGACCUGAGAGGGUGAUCGGCCACACUGGAACUGAGACACGGUCCAGACUCCUACGGGAGGCAGCAGUAGGGAAUCUUCCGCAAUGGGCGAAAGCCUGACGGAGCAACGCCGCGUGAGUGAUGAAGGUCUUCGGAUCGUAAAGCUCUGUUAUUAGGGAAGAACAGACGUGUAAGUAACUGUGCACGUCUUGACGGUACCUAAUCAGAAAGCCACGGCUAACUACGUG
This 497-nucleotide ribosomal RNA is filed under the name uncultured bacterium. RNAcentral's name for it is "partial 16S ribosomal RNA". It matches the Rfam family "Bacterial small subunit ribosomal RNA", at positions 28 to 507 of the family's 1533-position model. The record is from RNAcentral.